AUCAGGUUGAUAGGUCUGAGGUGGAAGCGUGGUGACACGUGGAGCUGACAGAUACUAAUAGAUCGAGGACUUAACCUU
This 78-nucleotide ribosomal RNA is filed under the name Bacillus pumilus. Its description in RNAcentral is "partial 23S ribosomal RNA". It matches the Rfam family "Bacterial large subunit ribosomal RNA", at positions 2847 to 2925 of the family's 2925-position model. Lineage: Bacteria; Bacillati; Bacillota; Bacilli; Caryophanales; Bacillaceae. RNAcentral also lists the same sequence under 1 other name. The record is from RNAcentral.